UGCCAGACUCCUACGGGAGGCAGCAGUGAGGAAUAUUGGUCAAUGGGCGAGAGCCUGAACCAGCCAAGUCGCGUGAGGGAGGACGGCCCUACGGGUUGUAAACCUCUUUUGCCGGGGGACAAACGGCGGCACGCGUGCCGUCCUGAGGGUACCCGGAGAAAAAGCAUCGGCUAACUCCGUGCCAGCAGCCGCGGUAAUACGGAGGAUGCGAGCGUUAUCCGGAUUUAUUGGGUUUAAAGGGUGCGCAGGCGGAUUUUUAAGUCAGCGGUCAAAUCGUGGGGCUCAACCCCAUCCAGCCGUUGAAACUGGCGGCCUCGAGUGGGCGAGAAGUAUGCGGAAUGCGUGGUGUAGCGGUGAAAUGCAUAGAUAUCACGCAGAACUCCGAUUGCGAAGGCAGCAUACCGGCGCGCAACUGACGCUCAUGCACGAAAGCGUGGGUAUCGAACAGGAUUAGAUACCCGCGUA
This 465-nucleotide ribosomal RNA is filed under the name uncultured bacterium. Its description in RNAcentral is "bacterial SSU rRNA". It matches the Rfam family "Bacterial small subunit ribosomal RNA", at positions 329 to 792 of the family's 1533-position model. The record is from RNAcentral.